GACGAACGCUGGCGGCGUGCUUAACACAUGCAAGUCGAACGGAAAGCCCUGCUUUUGUGGGGUGCUCGAGUGGCGAACGGGUGAGUAACACGUGAGUAACCUGCCCUUGACUUUGGGAUAACUUCAGGAAACUGGGGCUAAUACCGGAUAGGAGCUCCUGCUGCAUGGUGGGGGUUGGAAAGUUUCGGCGGUUGGGGAUGGACUCGCGGCUUAUCAGCUUGUUGGUGGGGUAGUGGCUUACCAAGGCUUUGACGGGUAGCCGGCCUGAGAGGGUGACCGGCCACAUUGGGACUGAGAGACGGCCCAGACGCCUACGGGAGGCAGCAGUGGGGAAUAUUGCACAAUGGGCGGAAGCCUGAGGCAGCAACGCCGCGUGCGGGAUGACGGCCUUCGGGGUGUAAACCGCUUUCGCCUGUGACGAAGCGUGAGUGACGGUAAUGGGUAAAGAAGCACCGGCUAACUACGUG
RNAcentral lists this ribosomal RNA (467 nucleotides) under uncultured bacterium. Its description in RNAcentral is "partial 16S ribosomal RNA". It matches the Rfam family "Bacterial small subunit ribosomal RNA", at positions 28 to 507 of the family's 1533-position model. The record is from RNAcentral.